UGGGGAUGUUCCUUUUCUGCAUCUGUGAAGGAAAAAACAACAAAACCCCGCGGUGUUUUUGCGAGGAGAACGACUCUGCCACGUUCCCCUCCUGGAGCACCAGCUGGUUUUACACCCCAAGAUUCCCUUUGGGAACGUUCCCAAGCACUGAGCUCCAGCAGCAGAUCCCAUGGAAAACACCCAGGUCCUGCCUGGAAUACAGGAACUUCCAGAGGGGAAGUUCUUGGGGACUGUGAGAUCUCUGCGCUGCGUCCCGGAGGUCACGUAAAUGUUUAUGGAAGAGGAGCAGCAAGCUGCAGCCUGGCCACAGGAAGAGGAGGAGGAGGAUGAGAUGAUGGUUUUUAUGUGCAAGGAAUGAGGGCCUGGGCACGUGUCUCUUGCUUUUUGGAGUUAUGGGCAGUGUCUCCCCGUCAUGGGGACUCUCAGAGGUUCCUGCGCUCGUGGGCUCGCAGCCCUGCUGAAAAGGCAAACCCUGGAGAUGGAAAAUGGGAAGUGGACGCCUGGCGAGAAGCUAAGCCUGCUCUCACACCUAAAAUAGGCAAAGCAGCAAGAAGGAAGUCUAAGAAAUUAAGGAAGGUGGAAGGAAGAAGGAGGGUGGGGUGCUGAAAUAGUUGGGUCAAAGGCAAAAAAGAAGAGACCCAAAAUAGCCUCCUGCUCUAGACAGCUCUGUUCAGGAAAUUUUUGAAGCCUUGUUGUUUUCAGUAACACACGGAAUUCACAAUAUCCCAAAUUAUUAUUCCUCACUUUUAUUUAUUUAUUUGGUUUUUUUGGGGUCAUCUAGAGAAGACCAAUAUUCAUUACCUCAAUAUUCAUUAUGUCAAUAUUCAUUAUGUCAAUAUUCAUUAUCUCAAUAUUCAUUAUCUCAAUAUUCACGGAUCAAUCAAUAUUUGAUUCAACAUAUCAAAUUCAUGGGAGAUGUGGCCAAGAAGCCCAGAAAGCUGUAGGAAAAGGCAGGGAAAAAGAGGGUUAAUGCAGCAGGUGACGAGGGACAUUUGCCACUGACUGAAACACCCCCAGAACAGAACUGGGGCUGGGAGUCCCCUGUGAGCUCCAUUUGGGUGAGAAACACUCACAGGGCUCAGCCUCCUGCCCCGGAGAUUUUGCACUGUGUGGUUACAGCUAAAGUCAAAGUUUCCAUCAGGGGAAAGAGAAAACGAGUGAGGCAGCAAGCUCUGCUCUGAAUUUCAGUUUGGGGAGCUGGAUUUGGUCUCUUUCAGGUCAGUUUGGAGUCCUCAGGUGAUACAAAAGCGAUAAAAAUGUACAAUUAUUUUGCUGUUAUAAUCACGGUAAGCUAUAAACUCGUGGCCAGAUGUUAAAGUCUAAUAUCAGAAUAAAUAUUAAAAAAGACCCUGCAGUGUCUGGCUCAGUAAUCUGGAUUUUUUUACAGGGGGCUUAACCAAGAGACCCCAAAAAGUUUCAACAGGGGAUAGAAAGGAAGAGUUAAAAAAACCCU
Molecule: long non-coding RNA, 1453 nt
Organism: Parus major (Great Tit)
Lineage: Eukaryota; Metazoa; Chordata; Aves; Passeriformes; Paridae
Exons: 4
Source: RefSeq, a predicted model, not a curated record